UAGAGUUUGGAUCCUGGCUCAGAUUGAACGCUGGCGGCAGGCCUAACACAUGCAAGUCGAGCGGUAACAUUUCUAGCUUGCUAGAAGAUGACGAGCGGCGGACGGGUGAGUAAUGCUUGGGAACAUGCCUUGAGGUGGGGGACAACCAUUGGAAACGAUGGCUAAUACCGCAUAAUGUCUACGGACCAAAGGGGGCUUCGGCUCUCGCCUUUAGAUUGGCCCAAGUGGGAUUAGCUAGUUGGUGAGGUAAAGGCUCACCAAGGCGACGAUCCCUAGCUGGUUUGAGAGGAUGAUCAGCCACACUGGAACUGAGACACGGUCCAGACUCCUACGGGAGGCAGCAGUGGGGAAUAUUGCACAAUGGGCGCAAGCCUGAUGCAGCCAUGCCGCGUGUGUGAAGAAGGCCUUCGGGUUGUAAAGCACUUUCAGUCAGGAGGAAAGGUUAGUAGUUAAUACCCUGCUAGCUGUGACGUAC
Molecule: ribosomal RNA, 475 nt
Filed under: Pseudoalteromonas sp. RKVR02
Lineage: Bacteria; Pseudomonadati; Pseudomonadota; Gammaproteobacteria; Alteromonadales; Pseudoalteromonadaceae
Description: bacterial SSU rRNA
Rfam family: Bacterial small subunit ribosomal RNA
Source: RNAcentral